This 253-nucleotide ribosomal RNA is filed under the name uncultured bacterium. Its description in RNAcentral is "partial 16S ribosomal RNA". It matches the Rfam family "Bacterial small subunit ribosomal RNA", at positions 524 to 776 of the family's 1533-position model. The record is from RNAcentral.
UACGUAGGGUGCAAGCGUUAUCCGGAAUUAUUGGGCGUAAAGAGCUCGUAGGCGGUUUGUCGCGUCUGCUGUGAAAACCGGAGGCUCAACCUCCGGCCUGCAGUGGGUACGGGCAAACUAGAGUGCGGUAGGGGUGACUGGAAUUCCUGGUGUAGCGGUGGAAUGCGCAGAUAUCAGGAGGAACACCAGUGGCGAAGGCGGUUCUCUGGGCCUUACCUGACGCUGAGACGCGAAAGCGUGGGGAGCGAACCGG